This 31-nucleotide non-coding RNA is filed under the name Homo sapiens (human). Lineage: Eukaryota; Metazoa; Chordata; Mammalia; Primates; Hominidae. The record is from RNAcentral.
UCUCUGAUGGCUUUUGCUGCCAGCUCUGUGC